GACGGAGGAUGCAAGCGUUAUCCGGAAUGAUUGGGCGUAAAGCGUCCGCAGGUGGCAGUUCAAGUCUGCUGUCAAAGACCGGGGCUUAACUUCGGAAAGGCAGUGGAAACUGAACAGCUAGAGUAUGGUAGGGGUAGAGGGAAUUCCUGGUGUAGCGGUGAAAUGCGUAGAGAUCAGGAAGAACACCGGUGGCGAAAGCGCUCUGCUGGACCUUAACUGACACUGAGGGACGAAAGCUAGGGGAGCGAAUGGG
RNAcentral lists this ribosomal RNA (253 nucleotides) under uncultured bacterium. RNAcentral describes it as "partial 16S ribosomal RNA". It matches the Rfam family "Bacterial small subunit ribosomal RNA", at positions 524 to 776 of the family's 1533-position model. The record is from RNAcentral.